This 429-nucleotide ribosomal RNA is filed under the name Bacteroidota bacterium. RNAcentral's name for it is "Bacteroidetes bacterium partial 16S ribosomal RNA". It matches the Rfam family "Bacterial small subunit ribosomal RNA", at positions 355 to 776 of the family's 1533-position model. Lineage: Bacteria; Pseudomonadati; Bacteroidota. The record is from RNAcentral.
UAGGGAAUCUUCGGCAAUGGGGGGAACCCUGACCGAGCAACGCCGCGUGAGUGAAGAAGGGUUUCGGAUCGUAAAGCUCUGUUGUUAAGGAAGAACGAGUGUGAGAAUGGAAAGUUCAUACUGUGACGGUACUUAACCAGAAAGGGACGGCUAACUACGUGCCAGCAGCCGCGGUAAUACGUAGGUCCCGAGCGUUGUCCGGAUUUAUUGGGCGUAAAGCGAGCGCAGGCGGUUAGAUAAGUCUGAAGUUAAAGGCAGUGGCUCAACCAUUGUAGGCUUUGGAAACUGUUUAACUUGAGUGCAGAAGGGGAGAGUGGAAUUCCAUGUGUAGCGGUGAAAUGCGUAGAUAUAUGGAGGAACACCGGUGGCGAAAGCGGCUCUCUGGUCUGUAACUGACGCUGAGGCUCGAAAGCGUGGGGAGCGAACAGG